Molecule: non-coding RNA, 158 nt
Filed under: human gut metagenome
Description: Lysine riboswitch
Rfam family: Lysine riboswitch aptamer
About the family: Riboswitches are metabolite binding domains within certain messenger RNAs that serve as precision sensors for their corresponding targets. Allosteric rearrangement of mRNA structure is mediated by ligand binding, and this results in modulation of gene expression.
Source: RNAcentral
GAUAGAGGCGCGGGAUUCAUCAGUACCCAUCACAAGGCCAGGCAGCCGUGGUGCGGGAAAGGGGAGACCGCCGAAGCAAAGAAGAUGCCUGAGUCUUCUGCGCUGGGUCGUCAGAGAACAUCUGCCGGACUGUCACAAGACUUUGUGAAGCGCUAUCG